GACGAACGCUGGCGGCGUGCCUAAUACAUGCAAGUCGAACGCAUUUUCUUUCACCGUACCUUGCUACACCGAGAGACGAUGAGUGGCGAACGGGUUGGUAACCCUUGGGUAACCUGCCCAUCAGCGGUGGAUAACACUUGGUAACAGGUGCUAAUACCUCAUAAUUCCAUUUACCGCAUGGUAAAUGGAUGAAUGGCGCUUUUCCGUCACUGCUGGAUGGACCCUCGGUUCAUUAGCGAGUUGGUGGGGUGACGGCCUACCAAUGCUGCGAUGCAGAGCCGAACUGGGAGGGUGAUCCGCCAAAAUGGGACUGAGACACGGCCCAGACUCCUACGAGAGGCAGCAGUAGGGGAUCUUCGGAAAUGGACGCAAGUCUGACCGAGCAACGCCGCGGGAGUGAAGAAGGUUUUCGGAUUGUAAAACUCUGUUGUUAGAGAAGAACAAGGAUGAGAGUGGACAGUUCAUACCUUGACGGUAUCUAACCAGAAAGCCACGGCUAACUACGUG
This 507-nucleotide ribosomal RNA is filed under the name uncultured bacterium. Its description in RNAcentral is "partial 16S ribosomal RNA". It matches the Rfam family "Bacterial small subunit ribosomal RNA", at positions 28 to 507 of the family's 1533-position model. The record is from RNAcentral.